RNAcentral lists this long non-coding RNA (1299 nucleotides) under Cricetulus griseus (Chinese hamster). RNAcentral's name for it is "lncRNA (ENSCGRG00015040622.1)". Lineage: Eukaryota; Metazoa; Chordata; Mammalia; Rodentia; Cricetidae. The record is from RNAcentral.
UGCAGCUCUUGGCUUGGAAGUGACCAUUUAGCAAGUGGGUGCUUCAGGGGAACUGUUGGGCCUGGAGGUUAGGCUGUAUCCUGUGCCUCCUGGGGCUCCUAAUCAGCCGCUUGGCUCCUGGAGCUUCCAGCCUCUGGUGAAGCAAGGCUCACAGGGGUGAGGAGGAAUGUGGCACAAAUGUCACCAGUAAGCAAAGCCUCACUGUCUGGGUGUCAUCUGGCUUGUCUGUGCACUCCCGGAUCACAAUUGCAUAUGUGAAACUGGUCACAUUGGACACCAUGCUUCCACUGACCACAAGAAAACGCCUCCUGCCCCAGGACCCUGCGGGUGGUCACACUUUAGCAGUUGUGUCUGCCUGCACCACAGGAUCCUCCUCAGCAGCUUUACGCCAGCUGUCCUGGGCUUAUUUCCUCCAGGCUGGACAUGACUGUGGCCAUAUCGAAUGAGAGCAGCUGUGUCGCCCAUUGAAGACACUCGAGAGACAGGUCCAGCCUGCUGACACCCCCUUAAGAGGAAGGGAGGACCACACGGAACACAGCUCCCACACGAACCCACUCCUUCCCCACUGGCAUGUGGACUGGGGACUGGGACCCCAGGACUCUUUAGCACGCAGCUUUUCAUGAAUCAUCCUUGCUACACAUGGGACUAUUCAUAAGUUGCCCAACGUCUUUGCUGGGAGCAUCCACACGGCUGGAGAUCUUCUGUACUGGAACAACUUGGUGCUUCCUCAUGCAGCACUUGGCAUCCAUUUCAAUUCUCUCCUAAACAAGUUUGGUUCUUUGUUCAUGUGUUUAACCAGGUCACCGUAUCAUGCUCAGGUCAUCAGGGUUGGUGGAAAUUGCCUUCACCGCUGAGUAUCUUGCUGGCCCUGUUACACUGCAGUGUCUUUUCCUCUCUUGGUCUGGUACAGAUAAUCAUGCAGCCUCAGGAACCGGAUGUUAAGGGCACCACAAAAAUGGAAGAAUCUUCAGACCCAAGCCCCUGAUUGGAGAACAUCGGUCUGGGGCUUUAUGUCAACGAGAAAUUAAACUGUAUUGCAUCAAGUCACUGUACAUUUAGGAGACAUUUAUCACAAAAGCUAGCAUUACUUGAAGGCUCCAAACAUACAAAUCUCAAAUAUUUUGAGUAAACACAGCCUGUGUUUUGCACAGCAUGCCAUGAGAUCCAGGCACCUGUAAGCAGCUGACUGUGGCUGAAACUUCACUGCAGACACGGCAGGUUUUAUAUACAUGCCCGGAAGAGUGGCUCUUCACAGGGUUCCCUGGCCAAGACUAAUUAAAGCCACUACUGAUACAACAG